Molecule: ribosomal RNA, 253 nt
Filed under: uncultured bacterium
Lineage: Bacteria
Description: partial 16S ribosomal RNA
Rfam family: Bacterial small subunit ribosomal RNA
Source: RNAcentral
UACGGAGGGGGCGAGCGUUAUUCGGAAUUAUUGGGCGUAAAGGGCGCGUAGGCGGCUUCGUAAGUCAAAGGUGAAAUCCCUCGGCUCAACUGAGGAGCUGCCUUUGAAACUGUGAGGCUUGAGGCCGGGAGGGGGUAGCGGAAUUCCCAGUGUAGCGGUGAAAUGCGUAGAUAUUGGGAGGAACACCAGUGGCGAAGGCGGCUACCUGGACCGGUUCUGACGCUGAGGCGCGAAAGCGUGGGGAGCAAACAGG